UUAAGGGUUCAAGAGUAUCACAUGUUCUUGGGUUCUUAAGAUUAUACCAACCAAGGUCUAACUAUCUAUCCCUUUUGUUUAUUGUAAUCUUGUAACCAUUUCUGUAUCUUGUAAUCUUCAACUCGUGAGUUGUUGUCUCUUGUUGUUAUUGUUCUUAUCAUAUUGUUCUCAUAUUAUUGGUGUUUUUAUUGUUUUGGUGUUGAAAACACACCUUUCUAUCUCGUCAUUGUGUGUUGUAGUGAAUCCGAGAGUUGGUCUUCAAUAGGUCCUCGAAUCUUAUGAUUUGUGGACUGUUUGGAGUGUAAUUUUGUGUAUCCCUUGGUUUUCUUGUAUCAUUUGGUAUCAAAUCAUGGCUUGAUCUUGUUUCCACAAGAUCAAUAUUGGGCUUGUUAUUUGAAACAAAAAUUGUUAAAAAAAAGUUGAAAUCUGAAAAUUCCAGAAAAAUAGCAAUCUGUCCAUUUGUGUUCUUGGCCGAAAGUUGUGUUCUUGUUGUGUAUUGGCCAAUAUUUUUACUUGUCUUUUUUGUCUCUAAGUGUUAGUUUUGUUCCUUAUUAACACGUUGAGUCUAUAUCUUAGAUUUGAGCUUGAAAUAUUGAUGUUGUUAAUGUGAACAAAGUGUGUUCGAUUGUUGUUGCGGGUUCAAGACUUGAAUGUGUGAUGCAUUGUUGGUUCAAGUUUUGAACGUGUAUUGUGGAGAUUGUGUUGUGGAAUUUAAGUGUCCUAAGACAAUUUUUUUAAAGAUAUGGUAGUCUUGGCCGUGUGAGACAAUAUUGUUGUGGGUUUAGAGUGGGCUGUGAAAAGGGAAUUGUUAGUGUUCUUGAAAAUUGUUGUUGUUGUUCUUGGUGAAUGUUGUUGUUAUUUUUAUGUUCAUAACUAACUUCAUACCUUUCUAGAAAAAUAAAGUGCUUAUUUGAUCCAAAAAUGUGUAGAAACUUGUUAGUCUUGAAAGACUCCCAACCACUAAAGACCUAUCAAUCACUUCUCAACAACUUUUCCAUGAUUUAAGGACCUUGUCUUGAGGAAAAAAGUCAAGUCUUGCUUUUUGAAUUUGAAAGAGGAUUUCAAGACUUAUUUUCCCUCCUUAACCAAUUCCCACCAAUUCCAAAUUAUAAUUGGAUCAAGACUUGAAUUAGAAAAUAAAAUUUGAUAACAACUGCAACUAAUACGUGGCUGCCACGUCACGUUUUACUGUUCACCGAUAAUUUUUAAGCUCAAAUUUUAGAUGUCUUUGUUUCUAAUUUGUUGAUCCUUCGUUUCAUUUAAUUGAUCCUAGUACUAAUUAAUAAACUAGUAAACUCGUACUAGAUUGUCAAUUAGUCCUUUGAAUCCAUUGUUCGUGUCUACGUUUCUUUUGUGCUUUUAUCAUUUUUAAAAUCAUAGUACUUCUUGGUUCAAGUUCGGACACUACUUUCCUUGAUUCUUCAAACAAAGAAUCCAUUCCUACCAAGGAGUAGACUCACCCCUCGAUUCAUCACGAACUACGAGCCGACUUGCAACACUUGUGAAUCCAAGUGUGAGACAAUUAAGUGUGUGAGAGUGUGGUGAGGUUCUUUUGAACUAACUUGUGUUUUUCUUUGUAGUCUUGUUCUUUUAUUCUUUUUUUUUAGAUACAAUUACAAGGGAACCCGCGGCUUCAACCUCUCAACCCAUGGACAACAAUGCCACCAAUGUCAUUUUGGCCAACCUUGACACUAUGUCCCAAGAUCUAGCUAUGGCAAAUGAAAGGUUGGAUCGUAUGGUAGGUCAAAGGGAGCAAGUGGGCUGCCCGAACAUACAUCAAGAGGAAGGCCGUAGCUCACAUGAGUUACGAGGUAAAAACGUUAUCCCCUACACUCCUAUGAACUUAGAAUGUUAUGUUGUGGCUAGUAGGAGCCAAGUAGGUAUAGUUGUAACUUUGCCUAGGGUAGAGGUGCUCGAGUCUCCUUUUUGUGAUACUCUAGGUAUUGUUAGGCCACAUGAGGACCAAACUCUUGUUGUAGGUACAUAAGAACUAGUUGAUCUUUUAGAUGAUGAAAUUGAUUCUCCUCGUGAGAAUGAUUUGUGUCCAUCUAGUGCUAGCACUUAUAACUCGACUAAGGUUCCAUUACCAAGUGACGAGAGUAUUCACACACUAGUUGACCCUUGUGAAAACCAAGGUGGGUCUACGUUGGUAUAUGAGUUGCCAAAAACUAGUGAGGUUUUCGACAAUGAUCAAUCGGGUGGAAAUGACCUUGACAUGCUUGAUUGUUUAGGAAACCCGAAUUGUGAUUGUCUUGGUAAAAAUGGUUUUACUUGUGAUCCCUUUGCUGCCCAUGAUAGUUUAUGUCUGUGUAGGGACUACUCUCUUGAAAGAGAAAGUGUUGCAUGCUUAGAAAUUCCAUCUACUUCUUCUUUAUGUGUUUCCUAUGUUAAGCCUACUAGUGUUGUUAGACUUGAAACUAGUGAGUACAUGCAUAAGGAGAUCAUAGUUGGAGUUGACUCGUGUGACUCCUUUCUUUAUCCUCUUUGUGCUCAUGAUAUUUUCCACAGGGAUAUAAAGGGUAUGCCUAAUUUUGAAGACGACACUUUUAGGGAAAGUGAGAGUGGCCGAGGCCUAAGUCCUUGGUUACUCCACCCAUUUGAUCCCGGUACCAUCUUAGGGUGGGAAAGGAUUACUCUUGGCCUAUUUUUCUUUUGUCUUGAUGCUUGCCCGAGCCACCUCCUUUGUAGCAUUUGUACUAAUCUUUUCAUGAUUAAAACAAAGGACCCGUGGCUAUACAUUAAGUUUGUUCUGCCGUGGCAUGGCAUGUUGAUGUGUUAUUUUUGGCUAACGCUAACCCCUCAUGUCAUGAGGAUGUGUGCUUGUUUUCCUUCUCUUGAUUUUUUAAGGCAUGGAUUCGAGGUCGAAUCCUUUUCAAGAAGGAGAGGAUGAUACAAGUACGACCACGAGGAUGGACGUUUGAAAAUGUAAUGAACCCGAGGCUUUGAGUGUGCAAGAAAAAUGCAAAAGAGGGCCGAAACACACACACCAAAACCGAACCUACACUACACUCCAUGGGCGAUAUUUUGAGGCUUUUCAUUAUAGGGCCUUUUGGUCAUUUUGUAUUCUAGUUGUAACCUAGUAUAAAUAGAAAAUUGUAGGUCAUUUUUGUCUUAGACUUUGAUGAUAUUGUAAGUUGUAUAACACUUUGAAAGACAAGUCCUCUCUUCUCUUUAGGAGGCAACCCGAAACUAGGGUGAUACUAGUGUGGAAUCACUAGUGUUGCAUUCAUGGCUUGAGACGUUGGUGUGUAGAAGAGGUAAAGUUCCUUUUGUGUCAACGUAGGAGUUAGGUUAACCAUUGUGUGUAGCAUUAAGGGUUCAAGAGUAUCACAUGUUCUUGGGUUCUUAAGAUUAUACCAACCAAGGUCUAACUAUCUAUCCCUUUUGUUUAUUGUAAUCUUGUAACCAUUUGUGUAUCUUGUAAUCUUCAACCCGUGAGUUGUUGUCUCUUGUUGUUAUUGUUCUUAUCAUAUUGUUCUCAUCUUAUUGUUGUUUUUGUUGUUUUGGUGUUGAAA
Molecule: long non-coding RNA, 3515 nt
Filed under: Capsicum annuum
Lineage: Eukaryota; Viridiplantae; Streptophyta; Magnoliopsida; Solanales; Solanaceae
Description: long non-coding RNA (CANN_LNC015872)
Source: RNAcentral